Molecule: long non-coding RNA, 827 nt
Filed under: Vulpes vulpes (red fox)
Lineage: Eukaryota; Metazoa; Chordata; Mammalia; Carnivora; Canidae
Description: lncRNA (ENSVVUG00000011421.1)
Source: RNAcentral
CAAAUCAGGUGUCACGUGCCUUCAAUUUGACCUUUGGAAAAGCUUUGAUUCCAUCAUGUAAUAGGGUAGCUAACAGCAUUUUUUUCGGCUCAAAGAACUAGCAGUGCAGUUAAAUGGAUCCAAAUGAACCAAGCCUGAAUUAUGUGCUAAUCCCUGUAUGAGGUGUUGAUGAUGUGAAGAUGAGUAAGGUAGUGUAAGCUCAUUAUGAAAAAUAAAGAUGCUCAAUGUAUAGCAGCAAGUUAAAGAAUCAUGACCUGGAACUGAGCAGAGUUAUGACCGGUUAGCACAAAUCCUCCAGGAAUGAACAUCAUGGAUGAACAUCAUGGAGUCACUUAUCGAAGACCUCUGGAUUCAUGUUGCAGCCAUCAGCAGACAACUUACCAUGCCUCAAAGAAAAUACCUUCAUUGUCCCUGUGUAAUCGUCUACAGUGUACCAGAGGAGCUGCCCACAGUGUGCUAAGCUUUGUGAUUGUUCUGGAGGACGAAUAAGACACGGCCAGCCUGCAAAGACCUCAGAAUCCGGGAUAUCUAGAAAACCUAGGAAAUGAAUUAACAGCUUGUCUGACAAAGCUCGAGUAUUCGGAGGACAAGAUGGGGCAUGUGACAUAAUGUGGGAGUGUUGAGGAAGGUUUCCUGGGAGAGGUGAUGCCUGACUGAAUUGGGUUUCGAAGGAUGUCUGAACAUUAGCCAGAUGAAGCGUGUUGGCAGAGAAGGGUAAAGGACAUCAUGGGCACAGUCAAGAACACCGCACUGAGGGGCAGAACAGUGAGUAGGAGACAAAAUGUGUGUCUGUGUUGGUUGCAGGAAAUGUAUGAGGUGGGAGAGGU